This is a non-coding RNA of Peromyscus maniculatus bairdii (prairie deer mouse), 1502 nucleotides long. The record is from RefSeq and is a predicted model, not a curated record. Lineage: Eukaryota; Metazoa; Chordata; Mammalia; Rodentia; Cricetidae.
CACGUCAUAAUUGCGCGGGAGGAGGCUGGUGAGAGCUGCCCAAAGCUGCUGCUGAGCCUCCCGCCGCCCUGGCCACUAACCACACUUAAUGAAGUGUGUGAGCACCCCCUACUGUUCUCAUCGGGAAUUAACUGCAAGGGGCCAAGCUGAGCUGCGACAGACACCCAUUGUGUCUCUCGGGAUACUGCUUUACCCCUGCUUGCCACCUGGAGGCAUACCAUCUGACAUGAGCUCAUGGCCGAGCCUGCCGGCUGAGGAUCGAACCCAGGGCCUUGCGCUUGCUAGCUAGGCAAGCGCUUUACCACUGAACUAAACCCCCAACCAAUUUUUUGAAGUUAUAAUAAAAGAAGGAAAGGAAGACAGACAGACAGACUGAAAGGCCCAAUCUGGCCCCACCUGGUGACGGGCGUGAGAGCCUGAGACAGCGCAACAUUGCCACCAUGUGGACAGAAACCUGAAUGACCACUUUGCCGCCAGUCCCGCCCAGUGGCUCUGAAUCUGGAGUCCCAUACCUACAGGAUUUGAAACCUUCCCCAAGCCGUUUCACGGUGUCUCCGGCAGAACCUUGGUAGAGGCAGCAGUCCUUGUAGAUGCCACACCCGGGACCUGAGUUUGUUCAUUAAGUUUCUAAGGUUUUGAUAAGUAACUAAAAUAAACCGAGAUGCAAGGCAGUUUGGGAGGACCGGAAAAUGAAUGGCUUGAGAUUCCCAACACAAGAUGGUCAGCCAGGGGGAAGACUCCACGCUGUGUGCUGAGCCAGUGAGGCGAGUCCUCAGGCUGACUCCACAAGCCCAGCCGCACGCGGGUUAUCUGUGACCAGGGAGAGGCUCUUAGCCUUGCCCUGCCACCGCCUCCUCCUGGUCCUUUCAGUGACCCUCCAGCACUGGAUCUGCCAGGGAGCAGAAGCUAGGAGGUGGUACACACAGCCUCUCCCCGUCCAGCCCGCCCCCGCUACCCCCCCCCCCCAUCCUUUAACUCCAUGUCAGAGUCAGACUGCCCAGAGAAUAGCACAGGAUGCAAGGCUAGUUACAGAAUCCACAGAUAAAUAAAAUACAUAGCUCCUCGUUUAAAGGCCAGGGUGACGCAUGGAACCCAGUGCAGGGCCCUUUUGAGCAUGGAGUUCAGCACUGUUCAGGCGCAGGGGAGACAGCCCUGCCUAGCCGCCUGGGGUGGAGGAAAGGGCUCUCUCGCUUUCACAACCCCCACGGCAGCCUGCCACGGCAGUAAGUGGUCCCAGAAUGCAUUAUUCAUCCCACGCCCUGCACAGUGGACCUGGCUACAGCUAUUGCAGCCUGUCCUAAUUAAAUGGAAUUUUCUGCCCCGUGCUUGGAGCUGAGUUUGUGAAUUGAAAAUGCAAAUGUGUGCGAAACAGUCUUGGCCCUGAGUCCCCCCAGCCUGCCUCAGUAAAGCUAAGAUGAACCAAUACCCCAAACCCACUGCAGAGCUGCGUAGCCCAGUGCUCCACGGUGCACUCUGUGGCACCUCUGUGUCCCCUGGCUCUU